AGAAUCAACGCUGGCGGCGUGCCUAACACAUGCAAGUCGAACGAGAAAGGGUAGCAAUACCUGAGUAAAGUGGCGCACGGGUGAGUAACACGUGACUAACCUACCCUGGAGUGGGGGGAUAACUGAGGGAAACCUUAGCUAAUACCGCAUAAUACCUACGGGUCAAAGGAGCAAUUCGCUUCAGGAGGGGGUCGCGGCCGAUUAGUUAGUUGGCGGGGUAAUGGCCCACCAAGACGAUGAUCGGUAU
Molecule: ribosomal RNA, 247 nt
Filed under: uncultured bacterium
Lineage: Bacteria
Description: partial small subunit ribosomal RNA
Rfam family: Bacterial small subunit ribosomal RNA
Source: RNAcentral